Long non-coding RNA from Eubalaena glacialis (North Atlantic right whale), 643 nucleotides. RefSeq lists it as uncharacterized. The record is from RefSeq and is a predicted model, not a curated record. The transcript has 5 exons. NCBI's taxonomy places the organism in Eukaryota, Metazoa, Chordata, Mammalia, Artiodactyla, Balaenidae.
CCCCACGUCCCCAGCCCUGAAACAGGAUCGUCUGUUGAAAGACACUCUCCUUCAGAUUUACUCAGUGUCUUCAUCAGCCUCCAAAAGUGAGAGAGCAAGCGGGGAGCUCCAGAUUCCAAGGAAGGAAGAGAUCAAGAUGGCAUGGAGUAACUAGUCCGUUUUCUUUGUGAAACGUAUUUUUAGAGCUGGACUCUGAAUGUGAAAGCAGGCAGCCUCCUCCUGGACCUGGAAGGGCUUCUCUGUGAGCAUGAAGAGAUGCAGAAGGAGCUGUGUGGACGGGAGGGUGGAGAGCACCCCGCAUUUCAGCUACACCUGUAGAACCGUUGCUCUUGGAGCCUUCCCACCACUUUGUGAGAGAGCCCAGGACAGGAGGAUAAGCCACGUGGAGUCGUUGCAGCCAACCGGCCCAGCCAAGGUGCCAGCUGCUAGCCAGCAUCAUCUCCAGAUGUGGGAGAACAGCCCUGGUGAUCCAGCCACCUACCCGUGAGCUGCCCCAGUGACGCUGAGUGGAGCAGAGAUGGGCUGUCCCCCCUGAGCCCUGCCCAAGCUGGAAAUUCAUGUGCAAAACCAAGUGAUUAUUAUUCCUUAAAGAUAUUGUUUGGUGGCUGGUUUUUAUACAGCAAAAGAUAACUGGAACAUUCUC